CAAAUACACUGCUGGAACACCGAUUUAAGGUGUUUACUGUUUUAAUAAUUCUAAAGAUUGCUCAGAAAGAGAAAGGCAUUUACAUGACUAUUGCCAAAUCUGCCUACUACCAGAGUCAGUUCGAUGUCUAAUUAUUAGUGGGCAUGUAGACCUCCUCAGUGGCGGCCACCUGUGUUAAUUAGCGAUCUAACAUUCUCCGAACACCUGUGUGUAAGUGUAACUAACUGGGGAGGAAGUGUAGUGCAUCAACUGAAGGCAUGCCAUGCCGCUUGUGGAUCUGUUCAAAACUGCUACCGAGAAGUCUUCCCUCACUCCCCAUCCACCCCCAUGAAACAACACCUCUGAUAAGGGCGUCUAUGUGAUUUUUGCACUUGCGUAGGAGAGGAGACAGAGUGAUUCCAACGGCACUUGACACCCAGCGGGGCAAGGUGGUCACUUACCUGGAUGACUUUCAAGCAAAAGUUGGAGUCCCCCUCCACAGCUGGUAUCUGUGCUCUCCCUUCAUCUUGGAGUUCUUAAUGGCCCCUAUGGCUGGAGAACUUACCCAGACGAAUCACACAGUCCUCAUCCAUACACCCAGUACAGCCUUUUGUGUCCUAAAUCUAAGAGCAGUCUAUAACGGCCCAACCUAGUCUAAGGGUAUCCAUUACAAAACAAGGGGAUUGUUUUGCAGUUUUUUUUUAUCUUCCCGCUUGUAAUGUUGAUGAAACGUGGCAAGGCUUAAUCAGCAAAUCUCUAUUUUUCA
Molecule: long non-coding RNA, 745 nt
Organism: Oncorhynchus tshawytscha (Chinook salmon)
Lineage: Eukaryota; Metazoa; Chordata; Actinopteri; Salmoniformes; Salmonidae
Source: Ensembl